AUACCAGCAACUGAAAAGCAGAACAACAACACUUGGAUCGUAGGCUAACUCCUAAAAGAUUGAUCCCUGGUGCUGAUACAGAAACCGUCCAAGAAGCCUUGGAAAAGUGUCAGAUUCCCGAUGAUGCUCAAGAUGCUUUUGGCCGAAGACCAUAAGUGCUGAGAACUUCCUUGCUUCCUCUCAACUCACUCUGGGAUCAUCUUUCAUAACUCUAAGCUUUUCUCCAUCAUAUGUUUCCAACCUACACUGCAACUCAAGCAUGCCAAGUAGUCAUCAAUCUAUAAAGAAAUACUUAAAUGCAUUGUUGAGGAGGACUGCUACUCAAAGGAGCCUCUCAGGAAGCUUAUGCAAUAGGAAAGAAUCACCCUGUCUUACUCUUUAAAAGACUUUCCUGCAAGAGAGGCACACCAGACUCAAAAUUUCAUGUACUGUGCAAAAACAUGCCCAGGCCUUUGGAGAACUGGUCUUUUAAACAAGAAUUGAGACCAGGUGCAAUGGUUCAUGCCUGAAUGCCCAGCACUUCGGGAGACCAAGGUGGGAGGAUCGCUUGAGGUCAGGAGUUCAAAACCAGCCUGGGAAACAUAGUGAGACUCUGUCUCUACAAAAAAUUAAAAAAACAAAACAAAACAAAAAAAAA
Molecule: non-coding RNA, 637 nt
Filed under: Pan troglodytes (chimpanzee)
Lineage: Eukaryota; Metazoa; Chordata; Mammalia; Primates; Hominidae
Source: RNAcentral